RNAcentral lists this ribosomal RNA (305 nucleotides) under uncultured bacterium. Its description in RNAcentral is "bacterial SSU rRNA". It matches the Rfam family "Bacterial small subunit ribosomal RNA", at positions 335 to 656 of the family's 1533-position model. The record is from RNAcentral.
UCCCUACGGGGGGCAGCAGUGGGGGAUAUUGGACAAUGGGGGAAACCCUGAUCCAGCGACGCCGCGUGAGUGAAGAAGUAUUUCGGUAUGUAAAGCUCUGUCAGCAGGGAAGAAAGAAAUGACGGUACCUGACCAAGAAGCCCCGGCUAACUACGUGCCAGCAGCCGCGGUAAUACGGAGGAUGCGAGCGUUAUCCGGAUUUAUUGGGUUUAAAGGGUGCGUAGGCGGUCCGGAAAGUCAGCGGUAAAAGCCCGGGGCUCAACCCCGGCGAGCCGUUGAAACUGUCGGACUAGCGACGUCGAGAA